GUGCUCACUUUGGCAGCACUUGAAGUAAAACCGGAGUGAUGCAGAGAAUGGCUUCUGUGGAAGAAUGACAGUCAAAUUCGUGAAAAGUUUCGUCUUUUU
This 99-nucleotide small nuclear RNA is filed under the name Echinops telfairi (small Madagascar hedgehog). The record is from RNAcentral. Lineage: Eukaryota; Metazoa; Chordata; Mammalia; Afrosoricida; Tenrecidae.